RNAcentral lists this small RNA (1664 nucleotides) under Histoplasma capsulatum. Its description in RNAcentral is "hypothetical RNA". Lineage: Eukaryota; Fungi; Ascomycota; Eurotiomycetes; Onygenales; Ajellomycetaceae. RNAcentral also lists the same sequence under 1 other name. The record is from RNAcentral.
AGCAGCAACCAGCAACCAGCAACCAGCAAUCACCAGCAAGCAGCAGCUUGCUUUUUAACUCUAUCUGCGAGUCUGCGACCCAUUGGGUCCCAAAUGGCCCGCGCACUGCAGCCAGCAGGGCACGUCAAGCUUGUCAAGCAAGACCCAACCAAGCCCACCCACGGAGGGGCCACGGCUUCAGCUACCUCGAACUGUGCAGUGACGCAGCAGGUCGUUCCACAGCUCCGCAAGGAGUAUAUCUACUUUCCUACAUGAACCGACGUACUAACCAGGUAAGUUAAAGCAGAGAAGGGAAAAACGACGAACGAGGGAAAAGGAAAACUACCCAGUAGUAGGCGAACGACGGCAGUACAUUGCGUCCGUCCAUCCUUCAAAAGAAUUUUUUUUUUUUUUUGUUUCAAUUGACAAUACUCCCUUCGUUUUCUUUUUCUUCACACACAAGUUCAAAUUCAAAAAAGUUUCAACAACCGAGGACCCCAAGCUUAUCUCCCCAUCGUUUCACUAUCGUCAAUCAUCCACAACCCAGGAGGAGGGGAGUGGGGAUGUCGAUGUCUGUCUUGUGUUUGGGUGAGAGAAGUCUCGUCCCUCUCCCCUCCCCUCAUCGCGGCUAGGCUAGUUGAAACCUGGGCGUCAGCACCACAGGCACCGCAGACACAGGAAGCAACCUCCACCCCCUCCCAAAGGUCUCAGCCCCAGGUACCAUCGGGCCAUUUUUGACCACCAUGGAUGAACUUCCCCCAAUACAGUAGCUACAUCGUUGGCUGGCACGAUUUUCAACGCUGCGGAAUUCAAGGGAAAAUCAGGAGGAGUGGGAUAGUUGCUGGAGGAAAUUGAAGUGGCAGAAACCAGGGCGUUUUUCUUUUUUGUUUUUGUUUUUGUUUCCUUUCUCCGUUGUCGAUCAGGGGGAUUUGUGGAAAAGCACAGUCUACGUCUAACUUAUAAUAUGUCUCCCCCCACACCAUUUUCUGUCUUCUGCAGAAAGGAUCAGGGAGGAAGACGAGUUAUUGGCUUAGUUAUUGGUUUACUGAUUUAUGGAUUCGUUUUGUCACAAGAUUUCUUGCCGUCCCUAAGCGGGAGCGGAAUGGGUUUUUUUUUGGGAAGGUAGAUCGGGAUAGAUGAUGGACAAUUCUUCGUUUUUCCAUUUUUAGCUUUUUGGGUGGGCGGGUCGGGUUCGGCAGUUUUCGUAGACGAGUUUUCAGAAGAGACAUGGAAGGGAAAGGAGAGAUAUAAAAAAAGAAAAGAAAGGAAAAGAAAUACACUGCACAAAAACCAGCUGAAAGGGAAAAUGUCAAGAGGAAAAACAAAAGCUCCUUUCUUAUUUCUUUUUUCCUUUUCCUUUCCCUGAGGAGUGUGGCUGAAGCUGGGAGGAUUUUUCAGAUCUGCUGCUGCUGCUUUCUGCAGCUCCAAACAUCAUCAUGCUUCUUCUGCUGUUCCUCUUUUUCUUUGAAUAUUAGUUUAUUUAACCAUUUGGCCAAUUCCAGACAUGUAGAAGCACCGAAGCAGCUAAUUGAUUAGGGAAGUGGAGAACAAAAAGUAUAGUCAGUUUGAAUGAAUGAAUGAAUGAAUGAAGAUGUGUGAAGAUAUGUUACAAUUCUCCACCCUUCCCUCUCCCCCGGUACGUAUGUACUGUAUGUACUGUAAAUCGUAGCCAUAUAGAUACCGAC